CUAAGAAUAUUCCGCAAUGGACGAAAGUCUGACGGAGCGACGCCGCGUGGAUGAUGAAGGCCGAAAGGUUGUAAAGUCCUUUUGCUGGGGAAGAAUAAGCGUGGGAGGGAAUGCCCGCGUGAUGACAUGAACCGGCGAAUAAGCCCCGGCUAACUACGUGCCAGCAGCCGCGGUAACACGUAGGGGGCAAGCGUUGUUCGGAAUUACUGGGCGUAAAGGGCAUGUAGGCGGCCUUGUAAGCUUGGCGUGAAAGUCCACGGCUUAACCGUGGGAUUGCGUUGAGAACUGCGAGGCUUGAGUGACGGAGAGGGAGCUAGAAUUCCUGGUGUAGGGGUGGAAUCUGUAGAUAUCAGGAAGAAUACCAAUGGCGAAGGCAAGCUCCUGGCCGAUGACUGACGCUGAGGUGCGAAAGUGUGGGGAUCAAACAGG
This 429-nucleotide ribosomal RNA is filed under the name uncultured bacterium. RNAcentral's name for it is "bacterial SSU rRNA". It matches the Rfam family "Bacterial small subunit ribosomal RNA", at positions 355 to 776 of the family's 1533-position model. The record is from RNAcentral.